Molecule: long non-coding RNA, 687 nt
Organism: Hypanus sabinus (Atlantic stingray)
Lineage: Eukaryota; Metazoa; Chordata; Chondrichthyes; Myliobatiformes; Dasyatidae
Exons: 3
Source: RefSeq, a predicted model, not a curated record
GGAAUAAUAACCGGUGUUAUUACGUCUCCACGCUUCAAACAAAUUUCUCCGGAGCGAUACAAGAAUGUUCAGACCGUGAUUCAAGGCUGCUGGAAAUCAAUUCAAGGGAUGAAGCGAGCUUUGUAUUCAACAAUCUUGUGUACAAGAACCUUGAGUACUGGAUUGGAAAAUGCGAAGACGGGAAUGUGAGCUCCGGUCUCCUGUACAAGGGGACAACUGGAACGCCCCCUUGCAGACUGUGUGAUCCGACUGCAGUCAGACCGAUUUACCCUUGCGAUCUUGAUCAGCCUUUCAUCUGCGAGAAAUCGGUACAUUUGUGCCCGCAAAUUCCUGAAAAGAUCCAGGGUCUCUGUCAACAGCCAGUGGAGGCGACGUGAAUAAAAUGACUGUCCCCAGUCUCCCCUUCACUCUCACUCCCCGGUCCUUCCAGAUUCCCUGCCCACCCUCUCUGCCCUUCCGUGCUCCACCAAUUCCUCCUCUUAUCGCAACCAUAUUGUCUCCACCAGACACUAACAAGCCUCUCUUGCUGUCUGUCCCCUUCUUUCCCUCCAUUCCCCGGUCCCGCUUUUCCUGCUCCCUCUACCUCCCUCUUUCACCUCUCUCCACGUCCAUCCGCUUCUUUCACUCCAUUCCCACGCCCCGCUCUUUCUGCUUCCUCUACCUAUCUUAUUAUUACCUCAUACUUCC